Bactrocera oleae (olive fruit fly) is the source of this 780-nucleotide non-coding RNA. Lineage: Eukaryota; Metazoa; Arthropoda; Insecta; Diptera; Tephritidae. The record is from RefSeq and is a predicted model, not a curated record.
AUUAUUUUAAUAUGAAGAACACCUCAGCCGCAGAGCAUAAUUUAAUGGAAGUUUAUAGUAAAUAUGUUCUAGCUGAGUGAACGUGCUAAAAGUGAUUUGCCUGAUUUAAAAAAUGUCAUUUUGGCUUUGAAGACGGCGGCCAAAAAGGUUUGAAAAUGGGAAACUGAAAGCAUUACUCCACGGAGAUUGUUGCCGAUUACGAGAAGGGCUUGCAGCUAACUCAAGCAGCGACAACUAUAAAGUUAAAAAAUAACUACAACCAAUUUUAUUUCGCCUCCAUAUUAACGUCAAGAACCACUGAUACAAGUUUAGUGUCACUGCUGCGCAAACAAACCAACCAAGACGAUAUAAACUACAGUUGGAAAAAAUGUUGCCAUUGCAAUGCUCGACAACUUCUGACUUUUCGACUUGAACAAGUGGAAAAACUGAAUGAAGCGAAACGUUAUCAAAGCAGCGGCAGCAGCAACAGCAGCAGAAGUAGUUGUAGCAGCAGUCUAACUAGCUGAAACAGCAAUCUGACCGAAAGUAUCUCCGUUCGGCCAAAUGUGGCAGAUCAAAGUUGUAUUAUGCCACACUCCACUUGCAGAAAGUGCAAAAGUCACCUCGAACGAGCAACACAGUCGCACAACAACAAAGCAACAACCGACAACGCACACACACACGCCUGCAUUGCACUUGUGAAAGCCUUUUUUUGCGCACAGACAAAGUCAAUGUUGGCUUACAAUGUGAAAAAGAAGUAUAAAUGCAAAAAAAAAAUAAAUAAAAAAAAAUAACGGUAAA